Molecule: long non-coding RNA, 3298 nt
Organism: Cyprinus carpio carpio
Lineage: Eukaryota; Metazoa; Chordata; Actinopteri; Cypriniformes; Cyprinidae
Source: Ensembl
GAACAUAAUGUAAUCCCAUGUUGACUGCAUCAUCCACAAACCGGUUUGCUCUAUAGGCAAACUGAAGAGGAUCCAGCAAGGGUCCAGUGAUGUCCUUCAGGAAUCUUGAAUUCUUACUUUCCUCUAGAUUGCUGCCAAACUGCCCCUACUUUUACUGCCAGUUAUUCUCCAGACCUUUAUGUCUCUGUUUCUACAACAACUCCAGACUCAAGUUCAUCUAUCUUCACCACAACAUCAGAAUCAAAUCCCCUCACAAACACAAGUACAACCGAGUCUUACUCCACCAUUCAAGCCACUACACAACUGAAGAACACUUCUCUCAGUGACACUUCUGACUCAACAUUAAACCAACAAAGCAUUGCCACUCAAACAACGGAGCCCUUAACUAGUGCCACUGCACAUGGGAUCAGUUCAACAGGAAGCACUAAAACAACUAGCUCGGACACAUCAACAACAUCUGAGACACCUACACUGACUCCAAAUCAUGCAAACAAUGAUUCCAUUACCACCACUGAUUCCAAAACACAAUAUAAAGUAGAGCAAACCUCAGACAGCAAUACAUCCAUUUUUUGGUCUACUGGAACAUUAACUGGUACCCAAAGACCUGAGCCAACAAAUGGAACUUCAACCAAGAGUAGUGUCACAAAGACAUCAUAUUCUGAAUUGACAACAACAAUAAUUGUGCCUACAACAACUCCAGACUCUUCAUUAGCGUCCCCUGAUGUGUCUUCUAAAACAUCAUACUCCACUUUGACAACAACACAACAGCUUGAGUCAUCAGACCAUGCUCAAGUCUCCAUCACAUCAAAUGAAUCGACAACUACAAUGAUUUCCUCUACAACAACUCCAGACUCAAGUUCAUCUAUCUUCACCAAAACAUCAGAACCAAAUACCAUCACAAACACAAGUACAACUGAGUCUUACUCAACCAUUCAACCAACUACACAACUGAAGAACACUUCUCUCAGUGACACUUCUGACUCAAUAUCAGAACAACAAAGCACUGCCACUCAAACAACGGAGCCCUUAACCAAUGCCACUGCACAUGGGAUCAGUUCAACAGGAAGCACUAAAACAACUAGCUCGGACACAUCAACAACAUCUGAGAUACCUACACUGACUCCAAUUCAUGCAAACAAUGAUUCCAUUACCACCACUGAUUCCAAAAUACAAUAUAAUUUAGAGAAAACCUCAGUCAGCAAUACAUCCAUUUCUUGGUCUACUGGAACAUUAACUGAUACCCAAAGGCCUGAGCCAACAAACGAAACUUCAACCAACAGUAGUGUCAAAAAGACAGCAUUUUCUGAAUCGACAACAACAAUGCUUGUGUCUAAAACAACUGCAGGCUCUUCAUUUCCGUCUUCUCUAACAUCAUACUCCACUGUUACAACAACACAACAGCUUGAGUCCUCAGACAAUACUCAAGUCUCCAUCACAUCAAAUGAAUCGAAAACUACAAUGAUUUCCUCUACAACAACUCCAGACUCAAGUUCAUCUCUCUUCACCAAAACAUCAGAACCAAAUACCCUCACAAACACAAGUAAAACCGAGUCUUACUCAACCAUAAAAACAACUACACAACUGAAGAACACUUCUCUCAGUGACACUUCUGACUCAAGAUUAAACCAACAAAGCAUUGCCACUCAAACAACGGAGCCCUUAACCAAUGCUACUGCACAUGGGAUCAGUUCAACAGGAAGCACUAAAACAACUAGCUCGGAUACAUCAACAACAUCUGAGACACCUAAACUGACUCCAAUUCAUGUAAACAAUGAUUCCAUUACCACCACUGAUUCCAAAACAAAGUAUAAAGUAGAGCAAACCUCAGAUAGCAAUACAUCUAUUUCUUGGUCUACUGGAACAUUAACUGGCACCCAAAGGCCUGAGCCAAUAACCGACACUUUAACCAACAGUAGUGUCACAAAGACAUCAUAUACUGAAUCGACAACAACAAUAACUGUGCCUACAACAACUCCAAACUCUUCAUUAGCAUCCCCUGAUGUGUCUUCUCAAACAUCAUACUCCACUGUGACAACAACACAACAGCUUGAUUCAUCAGACCAUACACAAUUCUCCAUCACAUCAAAUGAAUCGACAACUACAAUGAUUUCCUCUACAACAACUCCAGACAUAAGUUCAUCUAUCUUCACCAAAACAUCAGAACCAAAUACCCUCACAAACACAAGUAAAACUGAGUCUUACUCAACCAUAAAAACAACUACACAACUGAAGAACACUUCUCUUAGUGACACUUCUGACUCAACCUUAAACCAACAAAGCAUUGCCACUCAAACAACGGAGCCCUUAACCAAUGCUACUGCACAUGGGAUCAGUUCAACAGGAAGCACUAAAACAACUAGCUCGGACACAUCAACAACAUCUGAGACACCUAAACUGACUCCAAAUCAUGCAAACAAUGAUUACAUUACCACCACUGAUUCCAAAACACAAUAUAAAGUAGAGCAAACCUCAAACAGCAAUACAUCCAUUUAUUGGUCUACUGGAACCCAAAGGCCUGAGCCAACAACCGAAACUUUAACCAACAGUAGUGUAACAAAGACAUCAUAUACUGAAUUGACAACAACAAUAAUUGUGCCUAAAACAACUCCAAACUCUUCAUUAGCAUCCCCUGAUGUGUCUUCUCAAACAUCAUACUCCACUGUGACAACAACACAACAGCUUGAUUCAUCAGACCAUACUCAAGUCUCCAUCACAUCAAAUGAAUCGACAGCUAAAAUGUUUUCCUCUACAACAACUCCAGACUCAAGUUCAUCUAUCUUCACCAAAACAUCAGAACCAAAUACCCUCACAAACACAAGUACAACCGAGUCUCACUCAACCAUUCAACCAACUACACAACUGAAGAACACUUCUCUCAGUGACACUUCUGACUCAACAUCAAAACAACAAAGCAUUGCCACUCAAACCAUGGAGCCCUUAACCAAUGCCAAUGCACAUGGGAUCAGUUCAACAGGAAGCACUAAAACAACUAGCUCGGACACAUCAACAACAUCUGAGACACAUAAACUGACUCCAAUUCAUUCAAACAAUAAUUCCAUUACCACCACUGAUUCCAAAACACAAUAUAAUGUAGAGCAAACCUCAGACAGCAAUACAUCCAUUUCUUGGAUUACUGGAACAUUAACUGGUACCCAAAGGCCUGAGCCAACAAUCAAAACUUCAACCAACAGUAAUUUCACUAAGACAGCAUUUUCUGAAUUGACAGCAACAAUGCUUGCACCUACAACAACUACAGGCUCUUUAUUUCCGUCUUCUAUAACAUCAUACUCCACUAUGA